AUACGUAGGGUGCAAGCGUUAAUCGGAAUUACUGGGCGUAAAGCGUGCGUAGGUGGUUGUUUAAGUUUGUCGUGAAAGCCCUGGGCUCAACCUGGGAAUGGCGAUGGAAACUGGGCGACUAGAGUGUGGCAGAGGGUAGUGGAAUUCCUGGUGUAGCAGUGAAAUGCGUACAGAUGAGGAGGAACAUCCGUGGCGAAGGCGACGGCCUAGGCCAACACUGACACUGAGGCACGAAAGCGUGGGGAGCAAACAGGAUUAGAUUCCCUGGUAGUCCACGCCGUAAACGAUGCGAACUGGAUGUUGGGUGUUAUUUGGCACGCAGUAUCGGAGCUAACGCGUUAAGUCGGCCGCCUGGGGAGUACGGUCGCAAGCCUGAAACUCAAAUGAAUUGGCGGGG
Molecule: ribosomal RNA, 397 nt
Filed under: uncultured bacterium
Lineage: Bacteria
Description: partial 16S ribosomal RNA
Rfam family: Bacterial small subunit ribosomal RNA
Source: RNAcentral